Long non-coding RNA from Mus musculus (house mouse), 11228 nucleotides. RefSeq annotates it as predicted gene, 39751. The record is from RefSeq and is a predicted model, not a curated record. NCBI's taxonomy places the organism in Eukaryota, Metazoa, Chordata, Mammalia, Rodentia, Muridae. The transcript has 3 exons.
ACAAUCCUCCUGCCUCUACCCCCGAGUAUGGAGAUCUGAGGCAUGAAUUACAUCACUCUUUAUUAGUCUGGUACUUAAACAGCUUUCUUACUGCAGCUCCUAUGGAAGAGACCUGGUCUUUCUUGGAAGUUCCCCAGAAUCUCAAAUAUAUUUAGAGUGUCUUUGGUUCUUUAGACAAUUUCUCUGAAUGACUUGGCCCUGAGUAGUCCCCAAGAUCUUUUCAAAGAAGACUGUAUGUCAUCUUCAAAUCUGGAUGUGAUGGUAAGGGAUGGACCAUGUCCAGAUUUUUAUAAAUCUGCUCAUCUUUGUCAUUUUUAUUUCAUGUUUCAUGGAGGGGAGUUGCCUGUAUGCAUGUUUGUGUACCACAAUGCAUGUAGAAGGUGUGUGUGUAUGUGUGUAUGUGUGUGUGUGUGUAAAGAAAAGAAAAGGGGUGGGGAAGGAGAGAGGAAAAAGCAGGAAAGAUAGAGGGAGAAGUGAAGGAAAGAAGGGAGGAAGGGAAGAGAGAGACUCUAUAGAGACACAUAUUCAAGGCUAAGGAGGAUGCUGGAUCCCCAUUGGAGUGGAGUUAUAGAUAGCUAUAAGCCAUCUAUAUGUGUUGUGUCCGGCCAGCAGAUCAUAGCCUGGGUUCUAGCCUGGAAAGGCAUUUUGGAAACCUGGAAGAGAAGAGGGGCUAGGCGACGAGAUAAAGAAAUGUAGCUAAGACAGGCAGAUUCUGAUCAAAGCUCGAUUUUACUGUUCCGCACGCAGUUAUGAAGCAGGGGAAGGGGGCCCGAUUCCCGCCAAUUAAUCUCGGAGUCCAGUAGCAGGGUGACCACGUGAUGGCUUCAGAACAGCAAAGCGGCGGGGCUCCAGCAGUGGGCGUGGCAGAACGUUUGAGCCGGCAAGCUCCAUCCAGGUAUUAACAGUGGAACCCUUAAGGCUGGGGGAGGGGAGGCUGCAUAUAUGCAUUAUGGUCCACAGACAUACACAUAAGUGCUGGCAAUUAAACCUAAGUCCCCUGGAAGAGUAGCCAGUAUUUAUAACCACUCAAUGCCUGCAAACCUGCUCAUCUUACUUGUCACUGAAACACAGCUGCUCAAUAACUAAUUAAAUCACUUUUUUUUCCUGAUAUAAGGUCUCACUGGUCUUGCUGUGUAGCCCCAGCUGGCUCAGAACUCAGAGCUCCUUCUGCCUCCCGAGUGCUGUGACUGAUGGGAAUACAACCAUGUCCAGCCCUGCUACGGUUUUUGUUUGCUUGUUUGAGUUCUGCCUUAGAACGUACAUAAUGUGGGUUCAUUGAAAGAAAUGUUACAAUGGGAUCAUGAUGCGAUUUGAAGUUAAACAAGGCAAGACUGAAAAUACAGGUCCUCGGUAGUAACAGCCAUAGUUCUCCCAUGUGCUCAGAGCUCAGGAUGGCUAGUGGCAAUCCUGUCAAUAUAGAUUGGUAGUGUUUCUGUCUCCACAAAGGCUCUACUAGUCACUUCUAGUGUGGUCUCUAAUUUAAAUAUUCUUCUGUUCUUUUAUGUAUUUGUGUUCUAGGGGGACAUGGUCUUAAAAAAUAAAAACUUCUUGGUUUUUGAAAAAAAAAUCCAACGUAUGUUUGUUGAACACAGACAUAAUGCCACUCUAAAUAAGAACAUUCCCGUCAAUGCCAGCACAUGUUUACUCCAAUGGGCUCAUGAGAUGACAUCAUCUAGUGACAUCACAGGCACUGUAGUCUGUAUUAAUAUACUCGACGUCUGCACAACAAUAAACCAGUUACUAUGUCUAUCAGAGUACACCCUGCCACGAAGUGACACGGGCCUGGAGUUCCUAUGUUUGUAAACAUAGCACCAUUGGGGGCACUAACUGAAACAUGCGCGCAAAAGUUGAUGUGUUUACGAUAUAGAAUUUGAUGGUUUUGGAGACAGGACCACACACUUGAGACACCAUCACAGCAAUACAUAUGUCCACUGCCUCCAAAGAUAUCUGUACUAUUGUAGUAUACAUGUAACACAACCUGCUAUCUUAAUGAACCUUUAAGUGAAUGGUGCCUUAUUAUACAUAGUCUGUAGUGUUAGAGAUGGAGAGAGACUCAGGGCCAUCAGCAUGUGACAAUAAGAUAAUCCAUGACUUUUUUUUUUUUUGGUCAUGGUUAUGAAGAAAGUUAUGACUUCAUUUUUCCUCUCUCCCUUCCUUCUCUUUUUCUUUCUCUCACUCUAUACCACUGGCUAGCCUUAAACUGAUGGUAAUCCUCCUGCCUCAGCCUUUCAGUGCUGUGAUUAAGGCAUGAUGCCCAGUACAUCUUCCUUUCUCGUCCCGUAUCACUAGAUCUGAUACCGAGUGGCUGAACAAGAGGGAAAGCUGGGAGAGACUUAGAGACUAGUCUGUUAGCUUAACACCAUUUAUUUUUUUCUGAGGAUAGAGUCCAAAAACUUGUGACUUGCCUCAGACCAUGAGGACCUUAAUGGCAGUUAUUGUGCCGGAAAACCACAAUUUCUUGUCUAAUAUAUGGCCUUAUCUUAGGACUUGCCCCUUCCAAGUUAAUAAGGUCUCAGUCCCAGCCAGCACCCUCUCAGAACAAAAUUUACAACUGAAGUUAGCACUGAAGAAUAAUUUAAAUUGAGAGUUAUUUUGAACUACAAGCCAAACUCUGAUAUAUGGAUUUUCUAAUUAGUCUUGGGGGAGAAGGGGGGGUGUCUAGGCUUGUCCGCCAUAACUCAUGACACUGUAUUGGAGCAGUCCACAUCUUUUGAAGAGGGGAUAUCCUCAAGGUCUCAGGCCAAGGAAUUCUAAAGAUAGACAAAGAUAGUUGCUACUCAGCUCAAGGGAACUAACAGCCGUCUUUCUACCAUGUGGAGGACUAGAAGACAACCAUUCUUUAUGUGUAACGAGCCACAGCAGCUUAACCACCUCUGCAAUUCAUCUGCCUGGUCAGAGCUGGGAUGUGGGAGAAUGUUUGCAAUGGCAGUUGUGGGACUGCCAGCUCCCGUAACAUGACAGAGUACAAACAUGUUCAUAGAAACUCUCCAGGGUUUCUGCAAUAGAUCAUUUCUAGCUUUAUUCAUUUCCUUUCCCACUGAUCACUUUGCUAAAGAGCUCAUGGUACUUGGAAGCACAUUGUGUGUGUGUGUGUGUGUGUGUGUGUGUGCGUGUGCGUGUGCGUGUGUGUGUGUGUGUGUGUGUGUGUGAGACAUGUGAGCCCUUCUGUUAAACAUUUACAUCUAUGGUGUAGUGAAUGGUCAACAGGGGGCUAAUGGUUAACACCAGCUGGGAGACUUAUCUCAUGUGUAACUCAAAAUCAACCUUUGGCAGACAGCCCCGAGCAGGAGUUUGGUGUCUCACAAUUUGAUUCAUUUGCUAGAUGUAAGUUGUCUGUGUGGGGAAAGAGAGGUGGGGGAAGGGAGGAAGGAAGGCCUUUGCUUUCGCACAGCCCAUUCUGCAGGUCCUGUGGGUGAACAUUCCGUAUAGUGCUCUGCCAGCUAUAGCGAAGCUUUAAGCAACAGUCGUAAACGUGUGACCUAGUUUAGGCAAGUUCUUUCUCAUUAUAGGUGUCCUUAGGGUAAGUGGAAAUGAGUGUCUUUAGGGUGAGCUUUCCCUUUCCCUUCAGAUGAAGAGAGUAUAAAACACCCAGAGUCAGAAUGUGUCUGGCAAUAGAGGAAAGGGAGCCAGGAUGAGAGGCCUCAGACUGUGCACACAGAGCAAGGCUGAUGGAGGAGGCUGUGCCGCUACUUCUUAGGAUCCCUAGUUACUAUUUACUGAGUGUAACAGUCACUGGACGCCCUCCCUCAGAGGAGUCCUCUAGAGAGAGAAUAGAGGAACCAGACUCGGAACAGUAGGAAGACAGGCUGGCUCUCGGCUGCUGAGAGCUUGUCUAUUCUCCAAGCUUUUCUCCCUUGUUUGGAACGUUAUUUAUUCCCAAGCAGUUCAUGCCUUACAUAUAAUUUUCAGACAUAUGGUACUGUAUAUUCUCCCAAGUUUUAGUUCAGUUCCCUACAGCCUCCCUGCACAGUGCGCUUCCUGUCUUCUACUUUAAUACGUUCACUAUUUCCUUAUUAUAAAUAAUAACCCCCCUUUGCAUUUCUUUUUUCCAGGUGAUUACACUGUUAAGAUUUUGCUGGAACGAAACAGAGUCUUUGAGUUUCUGUUCACUUCCCGAGUUUCCCCAGAAAGCCGAGUCCACCACGGAGGACUAGACAGAUGUCCCAGAGAUCUUCCUGCCAGGUUCCAGCUGCCACGUGACAUACAAAAGAUGACUCUGCUUUUCCCUCGGCUGGCUUUUAGCUGGCUUCCCAGGCAGUAGAUCCCUACCUGUGCUUUUCCAGCAGAGAAACAAACUGAUCAAGAUAACAAACAGUAUACAAAGCCCCGAUACGUUCCCGAGGCUGUGGGCUUUCCCUUGACAGAAGACAAAAUGGAGAAGCAGGGGAGAGGUAGGAGGCUCUUCAAGAAAGAGCUGUGAGAGGCUUCCACUUGGCCACCUGCAAAGGCUGGUGCUGUGACAUUCCUGUGGCUUAUCGCAUUGAUAGUUCUGUGUUGGAGCCUCAAUGGUUCCAGUGUCACCUGAGGAGGAGGGGCUCCUGCUGGGUCAUUUCCUGAGCCAGAAUCUUGCCUGGGAAUCCAGGGUGGUGGCAGACAUGUGAUAAUGUUCUAUUGAGAGGGAAUGCUGUAUCUUUUGGCUACUGAAGCCAUGAUGUAUGUAUUUUGGGCCUCUUUCCCUCACUACUGAGUGAAAGGGCAUCAUUCCCUUUGCUCUUUGGAAAAUGGUAUAGAAUGACAGAAUGUGGUUUGCUGUAGGUGUGUACAGGCAUGCAUGCGUGCAUUCUUCGUGCAGACGGACAAGAUGGACAAGACGGACCACUUCCAUUCACUCAGCCCUGCUUUAUCUAAAGCGAUGAAGCAACUUCAGGAGGAGGACCCAGGGCACUUGUCAGCAGCUUUAUGGUGGCUUGGUGGCUAUCCACUCUCUCUCGGGAAGAUUGCCAUCAGAGAAUCUUGACAUGCUCCAAAAAAACCAAAACAACAACAACAAAAAAAAAAACAUGCAACGGGGCCUCCUGACCUGGUUCAGAGGGUUUGCUGGUACUUUUCAAGUCGUACCAAGAAUCUCAAGGGAAAGCAUUCCUCUGUGGUUAGGUUGAGAAAGUCCAACUUUUCCCAUACAGCAAAUGAGAUGAUUAGUGUUAAUUAUCAUCGCAACAGCGCCUAGAAUAGCCUGGGAGGCAGGCCUCUGGGCACGUCUGUGAGGGGCUGUCUUGAUUACAUUAAUUGAGGUUGGAAAGCCUCUCUGUGGAUGGCGGCCCUAUUCCUUGGCUGGGAUUCUGGACUGCGAAUGGAGACAGGGGGCUAAUGCCAGCAUUCAUGCCUUUGUGUGUCCUGACUGUGGAUGCGAUGUGACCAGUUAUCCCAAGCUUCUGCUACUCUGACCUCCCUAUUACACUGGACCAAGCCUUCAGAUUGUAAGCCAGAAUAAACCCCACUGACGCCUUUGUGGAAUGUGUUAUGUCACACAUCCACAAGAAAGAAACUAUGACAAUAAUUAGAAUGGACAACAUGAGGAACAAGAAUAAGGAAAUGAGACCAUUGGCAAACUCCAGGCAGAAUCCCUUAGUUGGUCACCCCAAGGGCUUGCCUAAGACAUCCUCACCCAGGCGCCACCUAAGUUCAUGACCACCCUCACCCGAAACUGAGUUCUAGUCUUACCCCUUACUCCCCAACAGCACCCGAAACACCGGGCACUACUGAUUUCCCUCAGUUUCGGUUGCUUCACCAACAAAUGUGAAGAACACAAUUUCUGAUCAUUUUGCUGAGCUUGUUGGAACAUAGUAGAGGCGAUUCAGAAGCUGCAAGCACACUGGAAGUGCCGUAAACCAUAAAUGUGUUAUUUCUUUCCUCACCCUGGCAGCUACAGACAGUCAGAACCACACAGUUUUGCCUCUGUACUUUGGCGCAUUUUGGUAUUGAUACUUAGCAAAAUUUCUUAAAGAGAUAGGCAGCACUGUGCUUAUUAGUCACCAUGCAGAUAAUGGUUGUGAUUUACAGCUGUUGGAAUUGGAGUGUUUACCUGUUACUUUGAUUUAUCUUGGUGACCAGAUUAAAAAUUAUUUAUGGAUGUUUCUUAAAGGGUGUUUUCAGAGGAGAUUAGCAUUUGAAUAAGUAGACUUACAGUCUACCACCCAAUGCCUUAAGACUAGCACUUCAAUAAUUCACAGUCUACCACCCAAUGCCUUAAGACUAGCACUUCAAUAAUUCACAGUCUACCACCCAAUGCCUUAAGACUAGCACUUCAAUAAUUCAGUCGUCUACCAUCCAAUGCCUUUAGGGUAGAAAGAGAAUAAAAGGUGGAGGCAAAGCAAGUUUCCCUGGUUUUCAUCACACUUUUGGGGAUGGGUGCUGAGCCUAGAAUUUACUAAGUAGCUGAGACCAGUUUUGAACUUGUGAUCCUUCUGCCUCGCCCGGCUCCUCACAUCCUGAGAUUGCAGCUAUGUCCCACCACAUCCAGCUUCAUUGCUCACUCUGUGAAUUACUGUAUCCAACUUGCUUUCUCCCAUCCAGGGGAUGACAUUUACACUACUGGCCUCCCUGGUUCUCAGGCCCCCAGGCUGAGUCACAACUGCAACUUUUCUGUGCUCUCCCUUGCAGGUGCUACACACGCCACAGACCUCUCAGCCUUCCGUCACGUGGACCAGCUCCACACAGUCCGUCUAGACCAGAGAAGACCAGCAAGACUGCCUUCUACCUCGGUGCCCUAUGGGCUGCAGCCCCAGGACUGACCCUACUCCUUUUGCAUGAUCACCGGCUUUUGAAAUUCAGAUGGUGAACUUGGACUGACCCUGUAGCCCCCAUGGGACCCAAGUGGCCUGCAGCCUGAUUUUGCUGUGCACAGCAGAGAGAGGGUAAUUUGACAUCCUGCUCUUUUGUUUGGGGUCUGUGGGCUCUGGACAGCACUUACGUCUCAUCUGUGAAUGCUAUUCCAAAGUACUCCUUCUCCUUCAGGUUGAAAUGAGAGGCCACGAGGUCAAGAAGCUCCUUGGCCAAAAGCUUGGGCUGGAAGAAGAACACAGAAGGGAAGAUUAACUCACGAGAGACUUUUGCUAAGUCACGUCAUCAUCUUGGGUCUCUAGCAUGUUCUCAGUGAAAUGCCUGAGAACUCAGGCACACUGCAGAAACACAAAUGACUUUUGUAAAAUCCAAAGAGAGGCUUGGAUGUGGUUCAGUUGGAAGGAAGGUUCUUGCCUGGCACGCACAAAGCCCUGUGUUUAAUCAUCCAAGCAGCAUAAAACUGGUUGUCAUGGUGCAUGAGUACUUCAUGGGGUUCCACGAGAAAUAGAGGCAGGAGGAGCAGGAGUUCAUGAUUAUCUUCUGCUGCAUAGCAAGUUUGAGGCUAUCCUGGGCUACAUGAGGUACACAGAGAGAUGAAGCCAAGAGUGAGGGAGGAAGAGAGAGAAUAGAGAAGGAGAAAGACCAAAAGAAACAGACCAUUAGGAUGCUGCUGUAUAAAACAGCCAAGUGGGAAGUCUUGGCAGCAACUGGAGGCUCAGUAAGAUUGGUUCUGUCAACAAAUGACAUUUUUGCUCUUUAGUGGGUCUGUCCAGCCUGGUGUCUUUCCUUCCCUACCUUAUACUGCUCUGACAGGAAGAGUUCUUGGUCUAUUUAGCAAACACAGGCAGACCCCUUCCUAUUCUUGGAAUAAGGUUACUUUCUGAUCUACCCAGUGUAAUUGGAAAAUGUUAAGCCCAAAUUUAUUGAAUAUGAAUACCAGAGUUUAGCAACACAUGGCUACAGGUAUGAGCUCAAGGGUACCCUGAAUGCAGCCCAUGACAAAAUGGCAAACUUACUUAAGAUCAUGAGCUACAUUGAAAGGUUAAACACACCCUCCCCAGUGUGGCUGCUUCUGCCUGGUGAUCACAUUGGGCUCUGGCUCUUGGCAUCCUUAGAGAUUGUAGCACACAGCCUGACCCAGAGAAACCAUCCAGAUACAAAAUUCAAAGCACGAUUUUUACUGAACAAAGACUGCAUUUGUACUAUUGUCAAGUCUAACAUCCCUACACUGACCUGCCUGAUGGGUCAGGAGCUGUCCUCGCUGUGUGGUAGGCACUGUGCUAAGCACUUUUUACACAUUGUUUAACCUCAUAAUCCUGUGAGAUUGUCCAUUGUGCAGGGCAGACACAGGCCCAGGGAUCAGGCAGUUGUUUCUGCCUCCUCUUCUAUCAGUGAGCAGCAGCUCAGAAGUGAAAACCACUUAGAACCCCAUGGGGUUGAAGUGACAGUAACACUUCCUUCCCUGGAAAUGAGAGACCAAUGGGAAACCCUCUUACACACGUUCGGGACCGGCCAGGAAAGACGCAACAAACCGGAAUCUUCUGCGGCAAAGCUUUAUUGCUUACAUCUUCAGGAGCCAGAGAGCAAGAGAGCAAGAGCAAGAGCUCUAUUGCUUACAUCUUUAGGAGCCAGAGCGCAAUAGAGCAAGAGCAAGAGCAAGAGCAAGAAUGGCGAAACCCCGUCCCUUUUAAGGAGAAUUAUCCUCCGCCUAGGACGUGUCACUCCCUGAUUGGCUGCAGCCCAUCGGCCGAGUUGUCAUCACAGGGAAGGCAGAGCACAUGGGGUGGAGAACUACCCUUGGCACAUGCGCAGAUUAUUUGUUUACCACUUAGAACACAGGAUGUCAGCGCCAUCUUGCAACGGCGAAUGUGAGGGCGGCUCCCCACAAAACCCCACCUUGACACACCAACUGCAUCCAGUGCUCUCUGCUUCCUGGUGCAUGCUACAAUCUGAGUCUAAACCAAUAGAACACCCAAGAUUGGACGUCAAUUCUUUCUUCCUUGAUAGGAAGAAGUCUACACUGGGAUUGUGGAGGGAUGCAUGUGGCUCAUCUCAGAGUUUUACAAAUGAAUUAUGAAAGAUGCUGCAAGAUUUGAGUUCCCAAGCUUAAGAACGUGUUGUGGGAUGUGCUUGACUAUAAAUGCUGCCAUUCCUUCCAGAAGAUGUUGGGCUGAGUUAAUUUAUGGGUUGUGGUGACACAGCAAGUUCACUGCUUUUAUAACACAGUGGAUCAUCACUUAUCCAUCAGAAUGACUGCCAUAUCUUUCAAAGUGGCCACAGUGUAUCUGUGAUGCUUGCUGUUUCUGGAAGUAUUUUGAGCUGGGCACUGGGUUACACACCUGUAACCCCAACACUUAGGAGGCUACAGUAAGGAGGAAUGGGGGAUUCAAGGCUAGCUUGAGUUUCACAGCAAGAGCAUAUCUUUUUAAAAAAAAUUUUUAUUAGAUAUUUUCUUUAUUUACAUUUCAAAUGUUAUCCCCGUUCCUAGUUUCCCCUCCGAAAAUCCCCUAUCACCUCUCUACUUCCCUACUCCCCAACCCACCCACUCCCAUUCCUGGUCCUGGCAUUCCCCUAUACUGGGGCAUAGAGCCUUCACAGGACCAAGGGGCUCUCCUCCCAUUGAUGACCAACUAGGCCAUCCUCUGUUACAUGUAUAGCUAGUGCCACAAGUUCCACCAUGUGUUUUCUUUGAUUGGUGGUAUAGUUUCAAGGAGCUCGGGGAUACUGGUUAGUUCAUAUUGAUGUUCCUUCUAUGGGGCUUCAGACCCCUUCAUCUCCCUGGGUAUUUCUCUGGCUCCUUCAUUGGGGACCUUGUGCUCCAUCCAACGGAUGACUGUGAGCAUCCAUUUCUGUAUUUGCCAGGCACUGGCAAAGCCUCGCAAAAGACAGCUAUAUCAGGCUCCUGUUAGCAGGCUCUUGUUGGCAUCUGCCUAGUGAAUGGGUUUGGUGAUUGUUUAUGGGGUGGAUCCCCAAGUAGGGCAGUCUCUGGAUGAUCGUUCCUUCAGACUCUGCUCUGAACUUUGUCUCUGUAACUCCUUUCAUGGGAAUUUUGUCCCCCAUUCUAAGAAGAAACAAAGUAUCCACACUUUGGUCUUCAUCUUGAGUUUCAUGUGUUUUGCAAAUUGUAUCUUGGGUAUUCUAAGUUUCUGGACUUAUAUCCACUUAUCAGUGAGUGCAUAUCAUGUGUGUUCUUUUGUGAUUGGGUUACCUCACUCAGGAUAAAGGUAGACUAUCAGAAUUACACCAGACUUCUCACCAGAGACUAUGAAAGCCAGAAGAUCCUGGACAGAUGUUAUACAGACCCUAAGAUAACACAAAUGCCAUUCCAGGCUACUAUACCCAGCACAACUCUCAAUUACCAUAGAUGGAAAAACCAAAGUAUUCCAUGAAAAAACCAAAUUCACACAAUAUCUUUCCAUAAAUCCAGCCCUUCAAAGGAUAAUAAAGGGAAAACUCCAACACAAGGAGGGAAAUGUCACCCUAGAAAAAGCAAGAAAGUAAUUCUUCAACAAACCUAAAAAAAAGAUAGCUGCAAGAACAGAAUCCCAACUCUAACAACAAACAUAACAGGAAGUAACAAUUACUUUUCCUUAAUAUCUCUUAAUAUCAGUGGACCCAAUUCCCCAACAAAAAGACAUAGACUAACAGACUGACUACAUAAACAGUACCCAACAUUUUGCUGCAUACAGGAAACCCCCCUUAGGGACAAAGACAGACACUACCUCAGAGUAAAAGGCUGGAAAACAAUUUUCCAAGAGCAUAUCUUAAUAACAUUUUUUUUCUAUUUAGGAUUAUCUUUUUGACUUGCCCUGGGAACAUGUGUUAGAUUUAGCAUCCUUGCCAGCAAGACUCCUCCAGCACUCAGAAUGGAUUUGGAAUUUUGUAAAUGUUAAAAGUCAUUUCAAGUCUAAUGGGUGGGGGAAGAAAGUCACUUGAGGUCAAAUCUGAUGGGAUAGGAGUGGAAGAGGACUGGGAGUCUCACUGGGUCAAUCUGACAUUAGAAAAUGAGGUGUGACUAAGAAGUGCUUACUGUGAGUUCUUGUAAACUAUGGAGGGUAACCAACUCACUCGUGGAAAGGGACAGCUCUCUCUCUGGGAAUAAGAUUUCAAUGCUAUCCAGAUACCCUUGCUCAGUGUGGUGGUCUGAAUGAGAAAUGUUCCCCAUAGACACUUGUAUUUGAAUAUUGGGUCCUCAGCUGAUGGUACUAUUGGGGAAGGCUGUGGAACUUUUAGAAAGUGGAGUCUUGCUGGAGGCACAUAGCACUGACUUUAAGGUUUUAUAGCCAUUUCCUAGUCCCUCUCUUUGCUUCCUGUGUGUGAAUGAAAUGUGAUCUCUCUACUUCCUGACUGCCAGGCCAGCCUCAUGAUCCCUGCUGCUAUGCCUUUACCACCAAGAUGGACUGUACCCCUUGGAACUGUAAGUCCAAAUAAACUCUUCUCUAAUUUUU